Non-coding RNA from Schistosoma mattheei, 78 nucleotides. The record is from Rfam. Lineage: Eukaryota; Metazoa; Platyhelminthes; Trematoda; Strigeidida; Schistosomatidae.
AGCUUUACGAAUCCGUGCAGAAAUUUCGUCAGACACCAAUCCAUUAGCGCUGAUCAGGUUUCCAAGACAAGUGAAGUU